RNAcentral lists this unclassified non-coding RNA (240 nucleotides) under soil metagenome. Its description in RNAcentral is "partial contains 5.8S ribosomal RNA, internal transcribed spacer 2, and large subunit ribosomal RNA". The record is from RNAcentral.
AACUGAUACUACCUGCGGGAACCUGCGGAAGGAUCAUUAACGAGUUUUGAAGUGGGAUUGAUGCUGGCCUUCCGAGGCAUGUGCUCGUCCUCGCUCAUCCACUCACAACACCUGUGCACUGUUGAGGUGUGGCCCCCCCUCAAUGGAGCCGUUCCCCCCUAGGGGGUCGAGCCGGGGUCAGGCCUUCUUCGUCACAAACAACUUGUAAUGUCUAUUCGGAAUGUAAUGCUUCAUGUUAAU